UACGUAGGUGGCAAGCGUUGUUCGGAAUCAUUGGGCGUAAAGCGCACGUAGGCGGCCUGAUAAGUCGGGUGUGAAAGCCCUGGGCUCAACCCAGGAAGUGCACUCGAAACUGUCAGGCUUGAAUAUGGAAGAGGGUCGCGGAAUUCCCGGUGUAGAGGUGAAAUUCGUAGAUAUCGGGAGGAACACCAGUGGCGAAGGCGGCGACCUGGGCCAAUAUUGACGCUGAGGUGCGAAAGCGUGGGGAGCAAACAGG
This 253-nucleotide ribosomal RNA is filed under the name uncultured bacterium. RNAcentral's name for it is "partial 16S ribosomal RNA". It matches the Rfam family "Bacterial small subunit ribosomal RNA", at positions 524 to 776 of the family's 1533-position model. The record is from RNAcentral.